Molecule: ribosomal RNA, 253 nt
Filed under: uncultured bacterium
Lineage: Bacteria
Description: partial 16S ribosomal RNA
Rfam family: Bacterial small subunit ribosomal RNA
Source: RNAcentral
UACGAAGGGGGCAAGCGUUGUUCGGAAUUACUGGGCGUAAAGGGCGCGUAGGCGGCGUGUCAAGUCAGGCGUGAAAGCCCCGGGCUCAACCUGGGAACCGCGCUUGAGACUGGCAUGCUCGAGUUCGGGAGAGGAUGGUGGAAUUCCCAGUGUAGAGGUGAAAUUCGUAGAUAUUCGCAAGAACACCAGUGGCGAAGGCGGCUCACUGGCCCGGUACUGACGCUGAGGUGCGAAAGCGUGGGGAGCAAACAGG